RNAcentral lists this ribosomal RNA (253 nucleotides) under uncultured bacterium. Its description in RNAcentral is "partial 16S ribosomal RNA". It matches the Rfam family "Bacterial small subunit ribosomal RNA", at positions 524 to 776 of the family's 1533-position model. The record is from RNAcentral.
UACGAAGGGGGCUAGCGUUGCUCGGAAUCACUGGGCGUAAAGGGUGCGCAGGCGGACUGGUAAGUCAGAGGUGAAAUCUCGUCGCUUAACGACGAAACUGCCUUUGAUACUAUCAGUCUUGAGUCCGGUAGAGAUCUGUGGAAUUCCGAGUGUAGCAGUGAAAUGUGUAGAUAUUCGGAAGAACACCAGUGGCGAAGGCAGCAGAUUGGGCCGGUACUGACGCUCAGGCACGAAAGCAUGGGGAUCAAACAGG